RNAcentral lists this long non-coding RNA (439 nucleotides) under Androctonus crassicauda. The record is from RNAcentral. Lineage: Eukaryota; Metazoa; Arthropoda; Arachnida; Scorpiones; Buthidae.
GUUCGGUAUUAUGAUUUAACUGUAAAGAGGAUGACACGAAUUGAAUUUAUUCCUGUAAACUAAUUUAAGUUUAACACCUGUUGCACGACAUUAUGUAAAUGAAGCAAUACGGGAUUGUAGCGAGCCGGAAUAUGCUUUCGAUACGAUGGAACUGCGGCACAUUUCAACUGCAUUAUCGUUGCGGCGUGAAUUCAGUGAACGCAGUCAAUCGAAUAACCUACAUGAAAGCAUAUUUUAUUUCACCCUGAAGGAUCCGAGUUCGAUUUCGGGCGGAUGGCCGCGUGGUAAUGCUGUGGUUUACCAUCCUGGAGGAUCCGGGUCCCACACCAACAAUUUUUCAGGAGAAGUCCGGAUCCGGCCGUUGAACUCCAACCUUCAAUCAUCCGGUUGAUCCCAUCAUGGGUGUUGGCCAGCCUUUAAUGGACUAUAUAAGUGGCCG